RNAcentral lists this unclassified non-coding RNA (253 nucleotides) under uncultured delta proteobacterium. RNAcentral describes it as "contains 16S-23S intergenic spacer region". It matches the Rfam family "Bacterial small subunit ribosomal RNA", at positions 524 to 776 of the family's 1533-position model. The record is from RNAcentral. Lineage: Bacteria; Deltaproteobacteria.
UACGGAGAGUGCUAGCGUUGUUCGGAAUCACUGGGCGUAAAGGGCGUCUAGGCGGCCUGGCAAGUCAGAUGUGAAAGUCCUGGGCUCAACCCAGGAAGGGCAUCUGAAACUGUCAGGCUCGAGUACCGGAGGGGGUGGUGGAAUUCCCGGUGUAGAGGUGAAAUUCGUAGAUAUCGGGAGGAACACCAGCGGCGAAGGCGACCACCUGGCCGGAUACUGACGCUGAAGCGCGAAAGCGUGGGGAGCAAACAGG